GUUAAGCUCGUAGUUGAACCUUGGGUCUGGCUGGCCGGUCCGCCUCACNCGCGAGUACUGGUCCGGCUGGACCUUUCCUUCUGGGGAACCUCAUGGCCUUCACUGGCUGUGGGGGGAACCAGGACUUUUACUGUGAAAAAAUUAGAGUGUUCAAAGCAGGCCUUUGCUCGAAUACAUUAGCAUGGAAUAAUAGAAUAGGACGUGUGGUUCUAUUUUGUUGGUUUCUAGGACCGCCGUAAUGAUUAAUAGGGAUAGUCGGGGGCGUCAGUAUUCAGCUGUCAGAGGUGAAAUUCUUGGAUUUGCUGAAGACUAACUACUGCGAAAGCAUUCGCCAAGGAUGUUUUCAUUAAUCAGGGAACGAAAGUUAGGGGAUCGAAGACGAUCAGAUACCGUCGUAGUCUUAACCAUAAACUAUGCCGACUAGGGAUCGGACGGGAUUCUAUAAUGACCCGUUCGGCACCUUACGAGAAAUCAAAGUUUUUGGGUUCUGGGGGGAGUAUGGUCGCAAGGCUGAAACUUAAAGAAAUUGACGGAAGGGCACCACAAGGCGUGGAGCCUGCGGCUUANUUUGACUCAACACGGGGAAACUCACCAGGUCCAGACAAAAUAAGGAUUGACAGAUUGAGAGCUCUUUCUUGAUCUUUUGGAUGGUGGUGCAUGGCCGUUCUUAGUUGGUGGAGUGAUUUGUCUGCUUAAUUGCGAUAACGAAACGAGACCUCGGCCCUUAANUANCCCCGGUCCGCAUUUGCGGGGCCGCUGGCUUCUUAGGGGGGACUAUCGGCUCAGCCGAUGGAAGUGCGCGGCAAUAACA
Molecule: ribosomal RNA, 811 nt
Filed under: Penicillium sp. 3cN-EC
Lineage: Eukaryota; Fungi; Ascomycota; Eurotiomycetes; Eurotiales; Aspergillaceae
Description: SSU rRNA
Rfam family: Eukaryotic small subunit ribosomal RNA
Source: RNAcentral